Molecule: ribosomal RNA, 460 nt
Filed under: uncultured bacterium
Lineage: Bacteria
Description: partial 16S ribosomal RNA
Rfam family: Bacterial small subunit ribosomal RNA
Source: RNAcentral
CCUACGGGAGGCAGCAGUGAGGAAUAUUGGUCAAUGGGCGCGAGCCUGAACCAGCCAAGUCGCGUGAAGGAUGACUGCCCUACGGGUUGUAAACUUCUUUUAUAAAGGAAUAAAGUGAGGCACGUGUGCCUUUUUGUAUGUACUUUAUGAAUAAGGAUCGGCUAACUCCGUGCCAGCAGCCGCGGUAAUACGGAGGAUCCGAGCGUUAUCCGGAUUUAUUGGGUUUAAAGGGGGCGUAGAUGGGUUGGUAAGUCAGUUGUGAAAGGUUGCGGCUCAACCAUAAAAGUGCAUGUGAUACUGGCAGCCGUGAGUACAGUAGAGGUAGGCGGAAUUCGUGGUGUAGCGGUGAAAUGCGUAGAUAUCACGAAGAACUCCGAUUGCGAAGGCAGCCUACUAAACUGCCACUGACAUUGAUGCACGAAAGUGUGGGUAUCAAACAGGAUUAGAUACCCUUGUAGUC